AAGGAGCAUCUCUUUCGCUCGCCGCACACAGGUGUGGUUGAGGAAAGCAGAGGCCAUUUCGUUCCCGUAUGUGGAACGGUGGUUGCUCAUGGGUGGACGCUGACAAACUUCCUCGCAUUACGUCAGAUCACAUGAUCUGCCGGCGAGUGCAAUAUAUCGACAUACUGUUGGGUCCUGAGAGAACACGUGAGUGUUUCCUCGAAGGAAGUAACGACAACGCUGGAAUGUGGGUCAUACCGCGGAGUUGCGAUGGUUUCGAUCAUUGUUUUCUUCGGCUGGUGCUCACGGGAGUUCUGGGGUUGUGUGUUGUUUGAGAACUGCACAGUGGACGCGAGCAUCUUUGUU
Molecule: unclassified non-coding RNA, 345 nt
Filed under: Nocardia globerula
Lineage: Bacteria; Bacillati; Actinomycetota; Actinomycetes; Mycobacteriales; Nocardiaceae
Description: 16S-23S ribosomal RNA intergenic spacer region
Source: RNAcentral